CUCCCUUACAAAAUUGGGCUGAACUAUGGACCGUUGAUGUGAUUAUUGAUGUAGAUGUUUUAUGAAGCUUUUCCAGUCGGAGAUAUCGUUACCUUUAAACACGUAAGGUAUCAAAGAAUGUCCAUCUUUUUCUAACUUGUUCUGUCUUAACAGAUAUCAAAAUUACAGUAGUGAACAUAUACAAGGAUUUCUAUACAAAUCCUUGACAUAAUAUUAUCAGAGACAUGUAUUAUAUGUCUCUGACAUUAUAAAUUAUAAAUAAAAAAAUAAAAGGUUUAUCAUAACAAAUUCAACAAAUGGACAUAAAUUGCUGUAUUUGCGCUUCAAAACUACUCUACAGUACAGACUAAUCCAAAUAAUUUUGACGCGUAGAACAGGUUGGGGACAACCCACCAAAUGGGGAACUGUUCCCCAAAUGAGUAACAAUCCCUCAUUUGAGUAAUCAUUUUGUAGUGCUAAGAAACAAAACUUUCUUAACUGAGUCUUUUUUCUUAAAAUGGCACAUAUUCAUGAAAAAUGCAGCAACUUUUCCAAAAGAUGAUUAUCCUUCAUUGUCCUUAUCUUGAUUUACUGAGAAGAUACAAGCCUAUGAAAAAUCAGAAAAUUUGACUAUUUUCUAGGCUUCUAACUUUUUUAAAACCCAUAAUAAAAAUAUAGUUCUUUGGGAGAAGUUGUUCCAUUUUCUAUAAAUUUGUGCCAUUUUACCUUAAAAGACCCAUAUUUAGAAAAUUUAUUUUUAGCAUUAUGAAAUGAUUACUCAAAUGAGGGAUUGUUACUCAUUUGGGGAAUAGUUCCCCAUUUGGGGGGUUGUCCCCAACCUGUAGAAUGUAUAAUAUUAAUUUUUCUGUGACACCUUCCUAUAGCUAUGACCCAGGAACAUUUAUAUAUUUGACAGGUCUUGACCAGUUGACACUACCUAAUUGCUAGUCCAAAUAAUAAUGAUGUCUGCCAAGGCUAUUUUUUUAAUUUUUUUCUACAUCAAGUAAUUAAAUCACUCAUAUUUUGGUCAUUUUUCAAAUAUUUUACAUGACAAAAUAUGUCUACUGUAUGAUAAAACUUGUAUUUAUUAACGAUGAGAAUAUUAUGUGGUUAAUCUAUUUGUUAUCCAGUCAUUCCGUCCCCAAACCUAUCCAGCGCCAAAUCGAUCCGUCCAAAGUCAAUCCGUCCAAAGUCAAUCCAGCCCACGUUGAUACGGCCCAAAGUCAAUCUGGCCCCACAAUAAAAUAUGAAUAAACUAUAUGGCUAAGUAUUCAGUAUAGUGUUGUUAGUGUGUGACAACAUGUAUGAUUUUAAAAGUAGCUGUUUCAAUCAUAAUAACAUGAUUUUCCGAAAGGAGAAUGAUUCUUGUUUAGGGUUUUACAUAUAAAAAGAUAGUUUUUUAGUCAGAAAAUAUAAAAUUAGACAUAAAUAGCAUGUUGGACAGAGGUUAUGUUGGACGUAACAGGACAUUGAAAAAUGAAUAUUUUCCUUUUAUAUGAAGGCUUUGUUAAUAAAUAUAUUAAUUUUUCUCUGACAGUUCAUAAGAUCUUCAAUUAAAGUAUAUCAUUUUGUUAAAUUUUUCAAAAACUAACUUAUAAGUUUGAAAAAUCUUAAAAUAUGUCGGACAAACGGGGACAUUUUUGGAUGAGAAUUUGUUCCAUUUGCAUCAUUCAAAGUCAAAAACAAAAUCAAAAGUAUGCUGUUUAUACUAAUAUCUACAGCUGGUGUUCCUCAGCAAGAGGUAAAAUGGUUCAUUAUUAAAUAAAUGGAUAAAACAAAACCAUAAAAAAACUGUUGGAUGAACAGUGACAGAAUUCAUUUGUUGUAGGACAAACAUAGGACAGAUUAUAUUCCCUGUCGGACAAAGAUAGGACAGAAUUCAUUAUUUUACUGAUUCUAAUGGCAAUUUAAAAAUGGGCACCUCUUAAGAAGAGUUGAGGAAGGGUCUGAGAACUAUUUUUAAAUUUAUGUGGACUUGUUAGUUGUUAACAAGUUUCUUUUUACUUUUAAAAAGCUGUUACGUCCGACAUUAGAGAUUUUGUCCUAAGGUUCGUCCAACAGAACAUUAUCGGACUCUUGUUACGUCCUAAUUUUCAAAAUUAUGUCAAAUUUAGACUGUCAACAGUUUAAAACCUCUUUAUUUUUCAUAUAUAUACGGUAGUAUUUAAGGUUAAGUUAUUGUCAAAGUGGAAGCAAAUUGAUUCCGUGACUUGUGGUAGCCAUUGUAGAGAAUAUCUUGGAUGUUAGACGUAACAUUAAUUCGGAUGUAACUUCCAUCUCUUGGUUGGACAGAAAGAGCGUUCACCCCUUCGAUGUCGUUGACCUUGAGUAAAAAGGAACAGUUGACAGCAAUACUGUAUGUGCAUUGCAAUUGUCGUAAAAUUUGUUAUCAUAAACAUUAAAAAAAACUUAAACUGAGUUGGCAACUUGCAAAUGAAAAUUGAAAUUUUCGCCCGUAACGGUUGGACAGAUUUUUCAAGAGUAAACUUUAAUGACAAUUCCUGAAAAAAAUAAAACUUUCUGCUGUAACUUCAUGAUGAAUUAUCACAUUUUAGUUAAUAAGCUCAAGCCUCAAGAUAUUUUGUGCAUUUUUUUAAUUGCCCUCUAUUGUUAACAUAACUUAUAUUUCAUUUUCACUUAGGAAGAAGACAGAAAAUGUUAGUCCGACAAUGUGACCAUUUAAAAUUGUUUUUAAUCCUUAUUUUUCGAAGAUUUUUCAUGUUUUAAUGCCCUAAACCUUGACAAACUACUUGUAUUACCUGAAAAUCCUUUUUACCUAGUUGACAUUCAUAAAAAAAGGUUUAUAAAACAAUUUUGAUUUUGGAUCAUUCGACCAUGUCACAAAAUAAGCAUGCAAAAAAUAGGGAAUUCAACACUUCAUUUGUAAAAUACUUUAUUCAACAAUAAACUUUUCAUAUGAGACUGUUUAUAUUAUCUCUUCAUCAUACAGUGAAUUGAUUAGCUACCUGCAUUAAAACUCAAAAUAAUUUAAAAUAUGAAAAAAAUGCAUUUUUCUGGGACACCCAUUGAAACAGCACUUUACUGAAUACUUAGCCAUAUUUUAUUUUAUUUUUUGUACUAGUAAUUAUAUUUUCAAAAAUCAAGAAAUUAAUAGUCAUGUAAUAAGAUGGUACACUAAAUUACUUAUGUAUUGCAAAAAAGGGCCAAUCAAUUCUUGUUAUUCAUAUAAAUAGAACAACUUUGUUGCAGUGAGUUUGUGAAUUCGAGUAAAAAAUCACUUAAUGAUCUACUUGAUUCCUUACCAACACUUAUUAAUGUGGUAUAAAAUUCGACACCACCUUCAGUAGGUCUUGCUUUGACUUUGUUAACAUAGUUAUUUAUAUACAUAUACACAAUAAAAUACUAACUACUACUGAUUAAUUUUUAUGUCUGUUGAUUGUACUUGAUUCUGUUAUAUAUCAUGUAUUUUUUGGGCGAGUUUUAUGGAAAUUUGGCGCUCAAUGUUGUGAGCGUUACGCCAUAGAUUGUGUGACGUCAACGUGGGUAAUUUGAUAGCAGGUCAGUAGUCCCAUUCCUUGAAAAUGUGGCAGUCAAGUGAUGCAUUUAAUGAAAUGAGUGUAAAAUGAUCGGCAUAAAUAGAGACAAAAUCGUUAAUGAAUUAAAUAAAUUUAAUUUACAACACAUGGAUAAUCUACAGAAUUCAAUAUUUCACAAGGAGCAAUCAUGGAACUAAGGAAAACUGCGUGAUUUCCCCGGGAUAAUGGGUUAGCAACGUCCAGGAUAUGGGUUAGCAACACCAGGGGCUAUGGGUUUUGUGUAACGACGUGUGUUAACCAAUCAAAAUCCUAGAUAUAUACUAAGCCGGGGAUAAUAUAAGUUAUCUACGUUCAUAUCCGUAGAUAUGGAUAUUUUAACACCCUGAAGUACCCCAGUACACCAUGAGGCGUAGCUGAAGGGUGUAUAGGGUACUGAAGGGUGUUAAAAUACCCAUAUCUAAGGAUAUGAAUGUAGAUAACGAAUUUAUCCCCGGUCUUAGUCCAAAUCAGUCGAGUUUUAUUGAAAUUCGGGUAAAAGUGUAACGUGAAAACAACGUUUUUUUCAUCAUCUAAAAAAGUUUUAUUAAAAUAUGGAAAUUUUACAUAUUUCAAAUUUGGCGCUCAAUGUUGUGAGAGUUACAUCAUAGAUGGUGUGACGUAAUCGUGGGUCAUUUGCAUUGCUAGGACAGUAGUCCUAUUCCUUGAAAAUGUGGCAGUCAAGUGAUGCAUUGAAUGAAAUGAGUGUAAAUAAUCUGCAUAAUAGGACAAAAUCGUUAAUGAAUCAAAUAUUUUUAAAAUUACAAACAUCAUGGUAAAUCUACAGAAUUCAAUAUUUUACAAGGAGCAAUCAUGGAACUUAGGAAAACUUGCGUGAAGUUCCCCGGGAUAAUGGUUAGCAACGUCCGGGGAUAUGGGUUAGCAACAGCCAGGGGCUAUAGGUUUUGUAACGACGUGCGUUAACCAAUCAAAGUCCUAGAUAUAUUAUAACUUAGCCGGGGUUAAAUAUUUUUAUUGGGGCUGGAUCGACUUUAAAUAUGGGCCGGAUCGAUGUUGGGCCGGAUCGAUGUUGGGCCGGAUCGACAUGAAAGCAUUUAUUUAACAAUUCCGGUAGUUUUUCAGUCAGACGCUUCUGAAAUCCAUAAAUUUCGCUAAGUCUUGUAAAGUCAGAAAUUUUAUUAACUUUAUACUGAAAAGUCUUAUAUUCAUUUUCUGUUAGAUAUACUAUUCCCAGUUUGACGUCAUAAAGUAGGAAGGCAUCACAGAAAAAAAAUUAAAUUAACCUUUCAAGACAUCAUAAUAAUUAUGUGCAUUUAGUACAGACUCACCUGUACAUGUGUAGUUGGAAAAGUGUUGAGGCCUGGGAUCCACUAGAUAUAUAAAAGUUAAAUGAAUUUUGUGUUUCAGAAAGAUGAAAUCUUUUUUGGAUUUUGAUGGGCAUUUUUGUUUUCCUUUCUGCAAAAGGUGUAAAAAUAAACAAACACCCGAUUUGCAUUUGAUACUGUUCACUCAGUUAAAUCGUUUAACUCACCUAUAGUUGUGUUGAUAUCUAUUGUCUUAUCAUUGCCUAGGUCAAUCAUGGAUAAUCAAAGCAAUACAAGAGAGGAAGCAUCUCAAAGAAGUACAUGUAUCAUACCUUAGAAAAAAAAAACAAGUUUGUUAUCAUCUGAUUUGCUCUUAAUCUUCUAAUUUAUCUAUUUGUAAACCUAACUUUAUGAGUGUUUAUGCAUGUACACGUACGUGUGUAACUUUGCAGCUAAGUUAAUUGCCAUGCUUGUAUAGUCUUGGUUAAAAGGCAAUUCAUGUUUCAGUAUUUUUUCAACUUUAAACAGUAUCAGUUUCUCCAUGAAAAGCAGAAUGACCAGACAAUAUUUGAAAUUGAACAGAGCAAUUUAAUAAUGAAAGUUAUUACUAAUCAUCAUAAUUUUAUAAAUGUUUCAAUUUUUUUUAAAUUUAUUUUGACAAAUAAACUGAGGUUUCGUAUGUUACAGGUUGUCUAUCCAGAACAGAGGAAUAAAUGAAGUGAAAAGAAUUGUUUACUAGUAUAAGUUUCUGUAACAAUUUAAAAAGGAAUGGCUUCACGAGGUGCUCAAGAAAAUACAAAAUUACGUCAAAAUUUAGAAGAACAGCUUGAUAGAUUAGUU
Molecule: long non-coding RNA, 5617 nt
Filed under: Mytilus galloprovincialis (Mediterranean mussel)
Lineage: Eukaryota; Metazoa; Mollusca; Bivalvia; Mytilida; Mytilidae
Source: RNAcentral